UGAAGUUUCGUGUUUCUGAGUCUGUUUCUCCACUUUCCUUCCACCCAUCUUCCUUUCCUUUAAGAUUCUCAAUAUCUUGAAAUCAUAACAAUCCAAAACCAUCUUCCUCUUACUCCCUUCACUUCCACACUCUCCUCUGUUCCUUCUUCCACCAUCUCAAUGGCCUCUCACCCAAACCAAACAGGAACGGGAGCUGACGGGCAAGGAGAAAAGGACCCCCCAUCGCCGAUCCCAGCAUCAGCCUUUCAGAAUCCACUUUCUGAGAUAUCGCCGUCACCGUCGCCGUCG
This 288-nucleotide small RNA is filed under the name Vigna angularis var. angularis. RNAcentral's name for it is "Non-protein coding transcript". Lineage: Eukaryota; Viridiplantae; Streptophyta; Magnoliopsida; Fabales; Fabaceae. The record is from RNAcentral.